CCUCCUCGCCGGAAGACCAAGGGUUCCUGUCCAACGUUAAUCGGGGCAGGGUGAGUCGACCCCUAAGGUGAGGCCGAAAGGCGUAAUCGAUGGGAAACGGGUUAAUAUUCCCGUACUUCUGACUAUUGCGAUGGGGGGACGGAGAAGGCUAGGUGGGCCAGGCGACGGUUGUCCUGGUUCAAGUGCGUAGGCUUGAGAGUUAGGUAAAUCCGGCUCUCUCUAAGGCUGAGACACGACGUCGAGCUACUACGGUAGUGAAGUCAUUGAUGCCAUGCUUCCAGGAAAAGCCUCUAAGCUUCAGAUAGUCAGGAAUCGUACCCCAAAC
This 325-nucleotide ribosomal RNA is filed under the name Vibrio cholerae. Its description in RNAcentral is "partial 23S ribosomal RNA". It matches the Rfam family "Bacterial large subunit ribosomal RNA", at positions 1329 to 1654 of the family's 2925-position model. Lineage: Bacteria; Pseudomonadati; Pseudomonadota; Gammaproteobacteria; Vibrionales; Vibrionaceae. The record is from RNAcentral.